This 57-nucleotide transfer RNA is filed under the name Galium rotundifolium. RNAcentral's name for it is "partial tRNA-Leu". The record is from RNAcentral. Lineage: Eukaryota; Viridiplantae; Streptophyta; Magnoliopsida; Gentianales; Rubiaceae.
GACUUAAAAAAUCCGUCGACUUUUUAAAUCGUGAGGGUUCAAGUCCCUCUAUCCCCA